RNAcentral lists this microRNA precursor (59 nucleotides) under Panagrellus redivivus. RNAcentral describes it as "microRNA prd-mir-277 precursor". Its record names the gene prd-mir-277. The record is from miRBase by way of RNAcentral. Lineage: Eukaryota; Metazoa; Nematoda; Chromadorea; Rhabditida; Panagrolaimidae.
GUGCCAGGAGCUGCGUUUUCGGCAUAAUUACAGCACGUAAAUGCACCUAUCUGGUAUGC